This is a non-coding RNA of Lepisosteus oculatus (spotted gar), 451 nucleotides long. The record is from RefSeq and is a predicted model, not a curated record. NCBI's taxonomy places the organism in Eukaryota, Metazoa, Chordata, Actinopteri, Semionotiformes, Lepisosteidae.
UCUACUUCCUGAUGACGAGACAGGGGAGCAGCCCCAGGGAGACCACUAACAGCUCUGUCAUGUAUGAAAACUCUGAGGGGCUGAAGGAUCACAUGAUGUACAUGAACCUGCCUGCUGGUCACCAGGUCAGUCUGUCACACUGUAGCCACACUGACCGCUGUCUAACUGUCCACACACCUGUCUCUCCUCUCCUGCCUGUCUCUCUCUCACACUGUAGCCACACUGACCACUGUCUAACUGUCCACACUCCUGUCUCUCCUCUCCUGCCUGUCUCUCUCUCACACUGUAGCCACACUGUCAGCUGUCUAACUGUCCACACACCUGUCUCUCCUCUCCUGCCUGUCUCUCUCUCACACUGUAGCCACACUAACCACUGUCUACCUGUCCACACACCUGUCUCUCCUCUCCUGCCUGUCUCUCACACUGUGCUCACUGUCAGCUGUCUGACUCU